This 422-nucleotide ribosomal RNA is filed under the name uncultured bacterium. RNAcentral describes it as "bacterial SSU rRNA". It matches the Rfam family "Bacterial small subunit ribosomal RNA", at positions 362 to 776 of the family's 1533-position model. The record is from RNAcentral.
UUUUGGACAAUGGGCGCAAGCCUGAUCCAGCCAUGCCGCGUGCAGGAUGAAGGCCUUCGGGUUGUAAACUGCUCUUGUACGGAACGAANAGGUUUGGCCUAAUACGCUGAACUCAUGACGGUACCGUAAGAAUAAGCACCGGCUAACUACGUGCCAGCAGCCGCGGUAAUACGUAGGGUGCGAGCGUUAAUCGGAAUUACUGGGCGUAAAGCGUGCGCAUGCGGUUAUGUAAGACAGAUGUGAAAUCCCCGGGCUCAACCUGGGAACUGCAUUAGUGACUGCAUAGCUGGAGUACGGCAGAGGGGGAUGGAAUUCCGCGUGUAGCAGUGAAAUGCGUAGAUAUGCGGAGGAACACCGAUGGCGAAGGCAAUCCCCUGGGCCUGUACUGACGCUCAUGCACGAAAGCGUGGGGAGCAAACAGG